CCUACGGGAGGCAGCAGUGGGGAAUAUUGCACAAUGGGCGCAAGCCUGAUGCAGCCAUGCCGCGUGUGUGAAGAAGGCCUUCGGGUUGUAAAGCACUUUCAGCGGGGAGGAAGGCGUUAAGGUUAAUAACCUUGCCGAUUGACGUUACCCGCAGAAGAAGCACCGGCUAACUCCGUGCCAGCAGCCGCGGUAAUACGGAGGGUGCAAGCGUUAAUCGGAAUUACCGGGCGCAAAGCGCACGCAGGCGGUCUGUCAAGUCGGAUGUGAAAUCCCCGGGCUCAACCUGGGAACUGCAUUCGAAACUGGCAGGCUAGAGUCUUGUAGAGGGGGGUAGAAUUCCAGGUGUAGCGGUGAAAUGCGUAGAGAUCUGGAGGAAUACCGGUGGCGAAGGCGGCCCCCUGGACAAAGACUGACGCUCAGGUGCGAAAGCGUGGGGAGCAAACAGGAUUAGAUACCCUUGUAGUC
RNAcentral lists this ribosomal RNA (465 nucleotides) under uncultured Klebsiella sp. RNAcentral describes it as "bacterial SSU rRNA". It matches the Rfam family "Bacterial small subunit ribosomal RNA", at positions 338 to 795 of the family's 1533-position model. The record is from RNAcentral. Lineage: Bacteria; Pseudomonadati; Pseudomonadota; Gammaproteobacteria; Enterobacterales; Enterobacteriaceae.